AGGGAUGCAGUUCAGUGGUCGAGCGCUUGCUUACCAUGCAUGAGCCAUGGGUUCAAAUCCCAAUACCGCUC
Molecule: transfer RNA, 71 nt
Filed under: Marmota monax (woodchuck)
Lineage: Eukaryota; Metazoa; Chordata; Mammalia; Rodentia; Sciuridae
Rfam family: tRNA
About the family: Transfer RNA (tRNA) molecules are approximately 80 nucleotides in length. Their secondary structure includes four short double-helical elements and three loops (D, anti-codon, and T loops).
Source: Rfam by way of RNAcentral